GGGAGCAGUUACCUUUUCAGACUGGAUGAUGAUUAUGUGGUUGAUGCGACAAAACGUGGUGGUAUUGCCAGAUUCGUAAACCAUUCUUGUGAGCCAAAUUGCUAUACAAAAGUUAUAAGUGUUGAGGGUCAGAAAAAGAUCUUCAUCUAUGCUAAGCGGCAUAUUGCAGCUGGUGAAGAGAUAACUUACAACUACAAGUUCCCCUUCGAGGAAAAGAAGAUUCCAUGUAACUGUGGUUCUAAGAGGUGUCGUGGCUCGAUGAAUUGAAAUGCAAAAGAGAUGCCAGAUCUGAUGUGUUAGGGGUUCGUUCUUGACCUGUGGUUUACAAGACACUCAUGCUGCCGUUUGCACAGAGUUCGUUAUCGUGUACAUCUUGUAAGCAAUGGGUUUUCCCUUGCAACUCCUGGUCAGGCGGUACCAGAUGCAUACACGUACUUCUGGGUUUACGCAUUCUUGUGAAAAAAGGACGACGAAUGUGUGCCCCUUGCAUGUAUUCUUGUAGAUAUCACAGUUGCAGAUGAGUUCCUCCUCUUAAGAAUUCAAAAUCGGUUGUUCUUUUAUUAUGCAAUCUCAAGGCACUCUUUUGGAACUAUAUCUCGUGUACAGACAUACAUUACAAUAUACCUUCACGUUUCAAGUAUAAUAAUAUACCAUAUUAAUUUCACGGAAUUCAAAGUACCUUUUAGUUUAUUUGGUUGUUAUGUUGAGAGAUAUCUCGUCUUGCGAGGGUCAAUCUGAAAGUCUGUUCCUCACAAAGGUUGGGGUAAGGUUUGUGUACAUCUUACUCUCCCUAGUCUCCACUUGUGAGAUUACACGGGGGAUGUUGUUGUUGAGAUAUCUUGUCACUGUUUCAGUGAUGCGCUAUUUAUUUUCGUCAAUCUUUACAUGUACAGGUCACUAUACUGUGUUAUUUGUGAAUUAUUAGUCUUGAUAAUCUUUCCAUAGAUACAUAUUGCUAUAAUCUGCUGGCUAGCAUGUUAGGAGAGUUUGACCCGAAACUCGAUUUAAGAUCUAAGAUUGUUAAAUUCUACCCUGACUAUAUGUGGAUGUCCCUGGGGUAAGAGUAAUUUUAGCAAUGAAUGCGGGCAUCAUAUUGUUUGGACUCUUCAAAAAUGUUUGUCAGAUCUUCAAACACACACUCGUCGAUAUUUUUGAAGAGUCCGAGCUUACAUAAGCCAUGUGUAUGCUCAAAAUGCUAGAGUGCAUUUACAGGUUUUUCUACCAAGGAUAAAUCAAUACAUGGAUAUAAUUUUUCUUAUUUUAGAAUUUUUUUUAAAUCACUUUGCAGUCGAGUUGAUAAAAUUUAUUUUUUCUGCUUUAGAAUCAAAUCCCAUUUUUGAUAAUAGGUUAUAAUGUUGUACUUGCAUUAUCAC
This 1373-nucleotide unclassified non-coding RNA is filed under the name Hevea brasiliensis (rubber tree). The record is from RNAcentral. Lineage: Eukaryota; Viridiplantae; Streptophyta; Magnoliopsida; Malpighiales; Euphorbiaceae.